UGGCGCACUCUACCACACACACGGUCACAUUCAUCCGGGCAAGCCAACGGAGUCGUGGAGGGCACUCGCUUAUCUUUUGCCACUUCUUCAACGUGCGGAGGCGCAUACAGACACAACACACACGUGCGUACAGCCGGCUCCCUCGAGGAUUUCAAUAUCACCACAUGAACGUGUCUCCGUGCCCACGCAUUGGCUGAAAGGCUUUGUUCGUCUGCGUGGUCUCUCGCGUUUUUUUUUUCGUUCCCUUCCUCCUCCUCCCCACCCCCGUCCCCUUGCUUUGAUCAGCUUGUCCUUCCCUCCUUUCAGUUAUUCUUCUACUGGUGGGUGUGCUUCAACGCAGGCACGCACGCCUGCCGCUGCCCCUGCUCCCCGAGCUCAGCAUCUUUCGGCGCAAAGUCUAGCUCUCUGAUUGGGGAAGGUGUGUCGCCCUCCCCCCUCCCCCGGCAGCCGCUAUCGCGGGCGCACUCGCACAUCACAGAGGAGGGGCUCCUGCAAGGAAAGAGCGUACUGGCCAGCGGGCGGGAUUUGUCUUCGCUUUGGGGCGGCCGCGCCGGCAAGGGGAACGCUGCCAUGCUGUGAGAAGUCAUCAAAACAGAUAACGCUGGCCAAGACAAGCGAACAAUAAAACGCACACGUAGGAGAGGCAUAUCGGCCUCUUACCACCUUUUGCUGCUGUACUCGAUCUCGCAUAUUUUCCCUUCUCGUUGCCUGCAUCUCUCACCUUCUCCCCCCUCCCCUCCAUCCCUCUGUCUCUCUUAGCGUCUCUCUCUCUUCCUGGGUGUCUUGACGGAGGGCAUUUUUUUCAUGUUUCGUGUGUUUUGGUGAGGUUGCUGUUGUGCGCUCUCUUCCUCUCCGACCCUUUUUGUUUCUGCUCGCUUCAGCUCUGCCCUUCGCUGUUGUCUGUCUUUCCUUUUUCGUUUUGUUGCUCUCUCUCUCUCUGUCUGUCUUGCUCCCUUUCUUCCUCUGGUGUACUUCUUCCAACCGUGUACAAACCACAACGAAUAGAGAAGGGCCGGAGAGACGAUACCGCCCGGAAACGCCUCCGCUUACUCGCUUGCCCAACGCUCGCACACAUCCAAGCCGAUAGCUGCACAGAGUGUGCACAAAACGCCGCACCAUUUUGAGAGAACAAACAGCAGAGCUUUUUUCGUCUCUUCGUUCUGGCGCUUCUCCACGGCAGCGAAAUCGACCACCUCUUCAAGUGCCGUUGGUGUUUGACCGCAGCAGGGAAAGUCAAUCAGAUAACUUACCUUGAUCUUUUCGUUCUUUCUUUUUACUCCCUCAAGGCGUCUUUCGUCGACCAACACCCCGCUGCCCCACGCUUCUGUGCACGCCUAUUGAUAGGCGUACAAAUAAACCAAAAAAAAAGAAGGGUAGCGUGGGGGUCCCGUACGCCUGCCAAACUGGUUGUGUUUUUGCGGAGCUGCCAUCCAUCAAGCUAUUGCCCUCUCCUCACUGCUUUCUUCGCAUCAUCGAAGCAACCAGUCGUAGGCGUGCUCGGGCUUCCUUCGAAGUCGGAACGCAGUCCGACCUACGCCAAAGAGAAAAAGAAGCAACCCCCCAAAACACAAUCAAACAACGACAGCAAACCGAAAUAAUAACGACAACGCCAAGCGAAGAGUCCGAACGACAGUGGUAAGGAACUGCGGGGACGCACCUGAUUUAUUGUUGCGCUUUUUUGUUUCUGCUGCCUUCGAGUGCGCACCUCGUCAUCGCGUGCCUUCUUUUUGCUUUCUUUCCCUGUCAUUAGCCGUCUUAUGCUUGCUCGCUUUUCUUCUUGGUGUCUCUACCCUCCCUCCCUCUCCGUGCCUCUAAGCGUUUCGCCGAGUCUUGUCUCUUUCUGUGUGCGCGUGCGUGUGGGCGACUGGCUUAUUCUCCAUUUUCCCUCUUGUUACCUCCGUUUUCUUUCUCGGUAUCUCUCCGUCUAUCUGAGGUAGCUUUACGGCUCGCCGCCGCCGGUUCCCUGACGGCUGCUGUGGUCUUUGUUUGGUUCGUGUGAGUGCAUGCACAUUGUGUGGCACCUUCCUCUUCUCCACUCUUCCCCUCUCUUGUCUUUUUUUUAUAUGUGCGGAGCUUUCUGUUAUCUUUUUUUUUUUGCUUGCUUGCUUGUUUGCUGAGGCUUAGAGUGAGCUGGCCAUUUGCACACAUCGUGCCUGCACGCACGGACGUCAUCUUGCUCUGCUUUUUCUUCGCUGCUCUUCUUUCUGUGAGGGCGUGCGCUCGUUGCCCACAUCUUUUUACUUGCACUCACUGCGGCCUUCUCGCUCUCUUGGGCAGGCGGAGGUACACUUUCGUUUCUGCCUGAGCGGGUCGGGCGCGUCGCGCGGUACACCACGCGCGUUGGAGUUUAACCGCGAAAAGCGCCUCCUUUGAUCGUGUCUCGGCAGCGAAGAGAGAGAGGGCGGGCGGGCGAGCGAGCGGUACGUCUGGAGCAGCAACACCAUCAUCGGCACGAGCAGCCCAGCAAAGGAACGCAGGGAUGGGUGCAGUGCCGAGUCGCGAAACCGUUGAACACUGGCUCUCUCAGCCACCCUUCUACGGCCAGCGCCAGCAGAUUGUUCUCAUUCCGCUCCUGAAGAAGUUCUUUCCGAGUCCAGACUGCUCCUUGUUCGUGCAGCUCUACGACGCACGAUGUGAUCCGGCGGUGCGGUACUACUACUACGCCAACGACGGCAUCAACAAGGUGCAAUCGACGCCAACCUCGCCGGUGUCUCCGACGGUGCACGCGGCACACGAGAGCGUCGGCAACGUUGCCUCGCCCACCUACCUGGCCGAGGUGAUCGGCAAUGCUCCCGUCUACUGCCCUCCCGCUGACGUGUUUCCAUCUGUGAACUUGACGCGGGAGGCCAUGUAUGAUGCUUACAUCACCAACGGCGGAGAGAGAAUGGUCUACGAGACGGAUGAGGAGAUGUUGCGGGCCUACCGUGCAGAUGCAACGUCGGUGCGGCCGCUGCCGUGCGCUGUGGCUUUCCUCUACCACCGACCGGCUUCGGCAGCAAGCCCCACCACUUCUACUGCUACGGGUGAUGCUGGCUUCGAGGGGAGCUCGGCGGCAGCCUCCAUUAACGGGACCGCUGCUGUCGGCGCCCAUAGCUUCCCUGAAGACUGCACCGAGGUGCUGGGCUGCUACGUGAAGGCGACAGGGUUCAUCGGCGACGUGCACGGGCUGGGUGCUUCGUGCCCGCGAAAGCUGCCGGACUGCGAGAUGCAGAUGUUUCUGACCAAGUCUGCCGGCGACCACCACCGCACGCACGUCCUUCUUACGGCGGUCUACACGUACGCGGAGCAGUGGCAGCGUGCGUGUUUGCACUGUGUGCCGUGCGACCUCACAGCGAGGGAGCUGGCGCCAGCGGUGACGAAAGGCGGCGGCACUGCCGACAAGGAUCUCGGCGACGUCUUCUUCUACUACAAGCCCUUCUCCCAGCCACAUCACAUGCUUGUGGAGGCGAGCCGCGUAGCUGGGCAUAAUUGCACGGCGAAGUCCGCAGCCGCCGAGAGAAACGGGAACAGGGGUGGCACCCUUAAGGUGGACGAAAAGGCUCGGUUUUGGGCUCCACCGCCGUUGCCGUCACUUGUGAUGCGUAGCCGCCGGACUAAUGUGCCGCUACUGUGCUUCCUGCGUGAGAUGCGCACGUGCGCGCGCUCGUUCUUUCUCUUCUACUUCAAGCACUACCUUGAGCACCAGGACUUACUGAAGCCGGGGUGUCGCGAAAAGGUCGGCGGUGCCGACGGCGGACAGGAUCGGCAGACCGAGAACAAUCAUCUCACCACUCCCCUCGACCACGGAGCUGGGGCGAACUGUUUCCUCGGCAUGCCUCCGCUUGGCAGCGUGCAAAUGUGGCUGCAGGGGGCGACGCGCGCGUCGGCGUCGCUUUCUGAAUUCGGUGACGAGGGCUCCAGCACGGAUACAGAAUCAAUGCUAAACUUUCACGUGAUGGCGCCGUACGUGCGUGCAUUGUCUGAGUUCAUUGUGGCCUGCCUGCUGCACAACAUCAACCCGCUAGAGGUCUCCCGGCUUUCGUCUGCGCCGGACGAUUCGGCGAUCGCGGCGGCCUCCACGGGCGAUGAUGCGAAGGACACCACCAUGAAAGGAGAGGCACCUGCAACUGAUGCGGUGGGCGGCAGCGCUUUUUUCACCUCCCCCACCGACGCGGCCAUGAUGGCCGCGAGCCCGACAUUCCCGCAGUCUUUCUCGUUCAUCCGCCUGCCGGACGAGGACAUGAUCGUACAACCUUGGCCACCCAGCAGCAGCGGGGGCGAGACAGGUGAUGAAGCAUCCGCCACCACCGCUGCUGCUUCUCCCUCAAGCGCCGGGCUGCUCUCGGCGUGGCGGUCUAGGCACACGAACCAUCAUCUGUUCUGGUCGGUGGGGCCGAGCAUCGUGAAUCGGCGCACCGCCACGGCGGCGUUGCUGCACUGGUACAAGACUGAAAAAGCUCCUGUGGUGUGGGGGUGCAACCUGGACGAGAAGGACUGCGAGAUGGUCGCUGGCGGCAAGGAGAGCGCUAGCGCCAGCGACGAUGUGUCAGCGGAGGCUUUUCCCUCUUCAUCCUUGGGGAGCUACAUGAGCACGGUGACAGUGAAUGGGCAGAAGGAGGAGCUGCUGCGCUGCAACACGGUGCUCAGCUUAAUGCGGUUAGAGGCCGGGAUGCCGGUAGAGGCACGCGUGCUGCGUGUGUGUCGCAUCCCGCUGGAGGAACUGCUUCUAGGUGAGCUGCGCGACUCCAGCAAGCUCGCUCGCGAGGCGGGGCCAGAGGACCCUCACUGGGUGCGGCAGGCGGAGAGCCCCAGCGGCGAUGGGGGCGCGACGAAGUACGUGGGCUGCGUGCUGCACGCAUCCGAUCCGGCUGAGGGGGUGUCCAGAACGGUGAUUGCGAACAAGGGCGUGGAGCUCCCGGUCGUGCCACCGGAGGCUGACGGGGUCAUCGGUGAUGGGACAUCGUGCCUGUGGCGGGUCAGCUUGAUUGAGCGCAUGUGCCGCAUCAUCGCCGUGACGCCGCAGUUCCUGAAGCCGAUCCGCAAGAAGCACCCCAAGAAGAAGUUGCAGUCGAAGGCGGUGAUCGUGCACGGCACGGCGUCGCACGUCUUUCUGAAAGUCGCCUCCCCCUCGCAAACCACCGCUUCGCCCACGUCAGUUUCGCCAACCGCGACAGAGCCCGCGCAGAAGGGUGCUGUGGAGCCGAAGGAGAACGAGGCGACGCCAGCGAGGGCCUCAGUGGUCACAUCACCAGACAGGCAGGAUGCGGUAGUGCUGAAGGAGGAAAGGCCCGGCGGCACUGUAGCCGUGCCGGCCCCUCUUGCGCCCGAUGCCGCCACUUCCACCGCCGCCACCACCGCAUACGCCUCAGCCGCAGCGACCACAAAGGCCAAAAAGAAGACGCAGAGGAUGGCGGACGUCGCCGCAGCGCCAGGCUCUGCCUUCACCCCUACUGUGACCGUGCCGAAGACUGCGGAUAAGGCGGCGCCCCCUGCAGCGGUCAGCGCCGCCAAUGCGGCUGUCACCACUGACACCGCUGCUGUUGUUACUCAGCUCAACUCUACGAAGGGAGCAAAGACGACUCCAGUGGAGAAGAACUCGAAGAGGGCAGGGGCGGCAACGAAGGGGUCAUCGGAGACUGUGACUCACACUGAUGCUGUAAUAGAAGACAAGCAGAGCAAGCCUUCAGCAUCGUUAACUCCCAUCGUGUCUGCCGCCACAAAAACAAAGACGACCAAGUCCACCGCUCGUGCUCCUGGCGCUUCAGCGACCGCGGAGAAGGCAAACGAGCUGAAGGCAGGCAACACCGCUUCCCGCAGUGGCGCCGCGAGAGCCGCCGAAACCUUCGCGAGAACAACUCCCACCGCGAAGCAUGCGACCAUCCCAACGGCAGAGAGGCAGAAAAAGAAGUCAUCACCGCCGCGACCCCUGCAGCCCCCGGUGCCGGCUGGCGAGUAUGACUCGAACAGAAAGAGCAACAAAGCCGCUCCGGGUGGCAAGUACCCGAACCCCUCCACCGCCAGCUCGUUUGGUGGCGCCAGCGCGACAGCUUGUGCACCGCCCCACCCGCCAGGGGGCAUCUACUACCCGGCCCCGCCGUCGUACGAAGCCAAGACGCUGCAGCAACUGCUGCGAGACCCCUACGAGCAGCACGGCUACGGCUACCAAGUACCGCCACCGCCUCUGCCUUUCGCAGAUCCGCACAGCAGCUCCAACGCCAUACCGAGCUGUGUGGGCUACUACUACAGCUCCGAUGGGUAUCAGCCGCACGCCGUCUACGGCGGCGGCUUCGUCAGCACCAACAGCCAUGCCGCUGCGUACUACAACACAGACAUGCGCAGCGGAGUAGCAGUCGCUGCUGAUGCCGGCAAACACAUGGGCGACGGCGGCUACGGCGAUUCACCAUAUGUGUACGCAGCGCAGCCACAGCAACUGCAGACGCUGCUCCCACCGGGCCAGCCGCCGCGGCACACGGGAACGACGAAGGAGAUUCGUGGGGAAGGCUUGUUCUCCCCCGUUGGAUCCUACUCGCUGCCCUCGAAGGAAGAGGGCAACAGCUGCGAGGCCGUCCCAACGGUGGCGCCCGGCAGCCGACAGGGAGCGGCGCCUUCCCUGCGGCAUCACGUGAGCUUUGAGGCGGGCGUGGCCCUGUCGAAGGAGGCCGUGGCAGACAAGGCGGCCCUCAGCUCUCCAAGGCGGGCAGCGACGCUUCUGCGCCCCGGAGCGCUGUGCAGUGGUUCGCCCACCACGAUGUCUCUCGCGUCCCCCAACGCACACUGCCCCAGCCACCACCACACAACCUCAAUGCCGCCACCGCUGCUGCUCCAGGGCUCCGACAUCGGCGAGUCGAUGUCGCACGACUUCGAGUACCACCACAACAAGUCUGUGAGCGGCACCGGCUCGCACCUGCACUUUCAACUGGAUGAACUCAACUCGCCCGUCACGAACGACAGCAGCAUUGUGAUGUCGAACGGGCAUCACUGGCACCACACCAGACACGCAAGUAGCCCCUACCAGACCAGCACCACAAUAAUGGAGGACGCCGGGGUGCCGUGCGGCCAGGGUUGUGGUUCUGUAGGCGGAUCGGUGAAUGUGACGGUGCGGGUACGCCAUCACCAUAGUCGCACGCACUCCCACGCCGCCAGCUACUUCAGCGAUGCCACCCUGGACUCUGCAAGUACGCACCAUCACCACCACCACCACGACACGGUGCAUCACAUGAACUGCAGCACCUCCGUGGCGAGCGGUGGCGGUGUGGGGGCCGGGGCUGCCAGCCUGAACGGAACGCAGACGUCGCACAGCUGUGCGAGUUUGGAGCACUCGUCGAAUGCGUUCCACAGGCUAUCCGGCGCCGGGUGUGGCUCUCCUCAUGAGCACAUCAUCGCUACGGAGGGCGAUCACCACCACCACGCCUCAUCCCCUCGCCAACACUACGAGCACCAGCCCCGCCACCAUGCGCCUGGGGCGACGGCGAGCAGCACGCGAAGCGGUGACACGGCGAGCGCAGCGCGGAUGACGGACAAGCGUACGGGAACGUACCGGUGGGACUGGCGCACGGCAUCUCUAGACAUGGGAUACGAAGACUGAGCGGGGCGUCUGUGAUGUGCGCGUUGCCUUCUUCCCUUUUCCUCCCGCUUUGCUUUCGCCACAUGGCGUCGUCUCCUCCACGAAUUCAUCAUGAUGGCGUUUCUGUGCUAGCGAGUGAGCCGGCGAAGUCGUUCGCAGAGCCAUUGAGCAGGAGAGGUGACUGCGGCGCGUCUGACGCGGCUCUUUCUGUUUUGUGUGCGGGGUGGCGGGCUGAAAGGGGAGGGGCGCGUAUUCGUCUGUCCGUUUUAUUUUCGUAUGCUCUCUCUCCAUCUCUCCGUCCCUCCGUCCGCCUCUGCUUUCUCUUCUCGUCGUCGCUGCAGUCCUUGACCGUGUAGUGAAUGGAGGAAGGGAGACGCAUCCCUCCCUCCCUCUCUGCCCUCUCCAGCUGUCACUGCGGUUGUCUUGUCCAAGUCUCGUGGAGGAGCUGUGCUUCUUUUUCGCUCGUAGAGAGGUGCUGCUGCGUGUGAAGGUCAUGGAGGGAGCCAGAGGGCGAGGGGAGAGGGGGCAAUCCAUUUCUCUCCCCUUCACUUAUGACGACGUUCGUUUGUGGGUGCUUUCACUGCCACGUGUCUUUUCGUGGUGGUGUCUGUGCAACGGCGGCCCCCUUUAGCGCUACAUGCUGUUGUUGUGCUUGCGCGCUCAGUAUGACGUACUGCCUCUCUUGCAGCCGCUCUGCUCUGCUCUCCUUACUCUUUUUGCGAAGGCCUCCGCACCUCUUCUCUUUAUCGGCCUCUUCCUUUCUUUUUUUUUUUCGAGUCGCGCUUCGCCGUCGUCGUCGUCGAUGCUGUCGUCACCGUUACCGUUGCCCUCUGCACCUUUCUCUCUCCUCCUCUUACGGCCUUUACGUCUCUCUCUGUCUGCUUACCUUCCUCUCUCUGCGUUUUUAUUUUCUUCUCUGUUGUUUUUCUGUGCUACUUUUUUCCCUAUUACCCUGAG
RNAcentral lists this unclassified non-coding RNA (8500 nucleotides) under Leishmania donovani. Its description in RNAcentral is "gene:LdHU3.31.2680(CDS-product:hypothetical_prote in_conserved)". The record is from RNAcentral. Lineage: Eukaryota; Euglenozoa; Kinetoplastea; Trypanosomatida; Trypanosomatidae.